CUAACAACUGGGGCUAACAACAAGGGCUACUAGUACUAUAUUUGUAUUAAACAUUUAAGUUACUCAAUAAUAUAAGUGAGUCAUCUUUGGAUAUCUAUGCAUUUUUAGCAGCCAGGAGAGAGAGAGUGAACAUAUAAUAUGGGACACUAGCAGUGAAUAAUAUAUGUUUCAUGAGAGAUAUUUUUAUAUUUAAACAAUUUGAAAGCCAUAUAUAUAUGUGACCUUACAUCAAGCAAGAAAAUGCACUCUGUUAACAUGGCUAACAAGCUCUCUUUCUUCUUUUGCAUUCUCCUUGUUUCACUGGCUGUUGAUUCUUUUUGGUCCUCAAACACUCAAGUGAUGGCUUUGCGAGAUCUACCUUUAUUAGAAGAAGCUGUACAAGUAAUUGAGCAGAUUGUACUUCGAGAUGUGCGUUGUUUCGACCGUUGCAAAACUAAUGCAGAUUGCAAAAAUGUAAUAGGCCCGAGAAAGUGUACGAAUUGUCGUAAGGGUUAUACGUCUGUGAAAAAGUGCUACGCUAAUUGACCAAUUUUGUGUGUUAACUUGUAAGAUUAAGAAUAUAAUUAAGUGACUUUAUCGUUCUGAAUCCUACUUCAUAUAAAAGAAAGCAACUAAGUUUAGGUGCUUCAGUUAUCAGUUUCAUGGUCGUUUGUUUGGCAUUUGUGCUCAAGGAUGUGAUGAUAGUUGUAUAUCAUAAUAAAUCAGUUCUUUUGGUUGUAAAAGCAAUUUACUGCA
Lycium ferocissimum is the source of this 735-nucleotide long non-coding RNA. RefSeq lists it as uncharacterized. The record is from RefSeq and is a predicted model, not a curated record. NCBI's taxonomy places the organism in Eukaryota, Viridiplantae, Streptophyta, Magnoliopsida, Solanales, Solanaceae. The transcript has 2 exons.